AGAGUUUGAUCCUGGCUCAGGACGAACGUUGGCGGCGCGUCUAAGGCAUGCAAGUCGAACGGAUCACUUGUUGUAGCAAUAUGAUGAGUGAUUAGUGGCAAACGGGUGCGUAACACAUUAGUAACCUGCCUCGAAGACGGGUAUAACCCCCCGAAAGGGGGAUUAAUCCCCGAUAGUCAUAAGGGACUCGUGUCUUCUUAUGUAAAUACUUCGGUGCUUCGAGAGGGGCUUAUGGUCUAUCAGCUUGUUGGUGAGGUAAUGGCUCACCAAGGCUAUGACGGUUAACGGCUCUUAGCGGAGAGUCCGUCACAAUGGGACUGAGACACGGCCCAUACACCUACGGGUGGCAGCAGUUAGGAAUUUUGCACAAUGGACGAAAGUCUGAUGCAGCGACAUCGCGUUGGAUGAAGGCCUUCGGGUCGUAAACCACUUUUAUUGAUCGUGAAGAUCAUG
This 453-nucleotide ribosomal RNA is filed under the name uncultured bacterium. Its description in RNAcentral is "bacterial SSU rRNA". It matches the Rfam family "Bacterial small subunit ribosomal RNA", at positions 8 to 456 of the family's 1533-position model. The record is from RNAcentral.